Molecule: long non-coding RNA, 500 nt
Organism: Sinocyclocheilus grahami
Lineage: Eukaryota; Metazoa; Chordata; Actinopteri; Cypriniformes; Cyprinidae
Exons: 3
Source: RefSeq, a predicted model, not a curated record
CCUGUUCUCUGGCACAGCAACACCGUGACAGUGUGGAUGGUAAACUCAGAUCUCCAAAGACCUUUUGUUUGGAACAAAACGAUUGUGUGGACUCAAUGAAAUCAAUUAGCAUUAUGUAUUCAUGGAGGGAGGACAGCGCUUGGCUCUGGUUAUUGAUCUCUGAAGUUCAGUCCAGAAGAGGACGGUGAUCUGUCUUGUCACAACAAUGAAAGCGUUGGGUCCUUAACUUCAUAUCCAUCACGCGCCGUCAUAACUGCGAGAUCCCACAAGCCCCGGGUCAUAUCUCUGGCUCCAGUAGUUUCCUCGCCGUGAUUCGAGCGCCCUGCGGCCCAUCAGCAUGGUUUCUCUCCAGUAUGUAGGUCACCCACAGCUGCUCCCCAAGUGUUUGUUUGGCUGUCUGUCGCCUUCCAUUACUGUUUCAUGCCGUGGGUCUCCGGGGUCAUCCACGUGGUGUGCCACUCCCCCUCGCUCACGCCGACAUGCCUCAGCAGGCACGUGGC